Long non-coding RNA from Daphnia pulicaria, 330 nucleotides. RefSeq lists it as uncharacterized. The transcript has 2 exons. The record is from RefSeq and is a predicted model, not a curated record. Lineage: Eukaryota; Metazoa; Arthropoda; Branchiopoda; Diplostraca; Daphniidae.
AGUAAGAAGACUAAGUUGUCAAAGGAAAAAAAGAAACCUGAUUUAAAGCAACAGACUCUUCAUCAGCUGCCGAACGUGAGUUUUCUGCGUCUGGAUGGCAUACACUGGGGAGAAAGAAUCGCACAACAGGAGUCACUUUGGCAGCAAAAGUGUUCCUUACUUGUAACAAAGACCUAUUAAGGCCCCUUUUUUUAAAGUCUUGUUUACUUUCCUCCUUGUUUUUCGCAGUUUCUUUUUUCUCAUUAGAACAGCGAAAUAUCCAAAUGAGAAAAUGCCUAAUUAUUUAAUGGAUCUACCUGAUAACCGUAAUAAAACUAAUCAAGACCGUGA